Molecule: long non-coding RNA, 374 nt
Filed under: Nicotiana benthamiana
Lineage: Eukaryota; Viridiplantae; Streptophyta; Magnoliopsida; Solanales; Solanaceae
Description: long non-coding RNA (NBEN_LNC024325)
Source: RNAcentral
ACAAGUUGUGUGGUGUGAGGUUCCGUGAUGAUUUUUUAUUUGGGCUGCUUGUAUUGGCUAAGAUGAGGUCUUUAGACUGAGAUUCGCACUAUCGCAUUGGCGGGUGAGAGAGCUUCUUGAAUUGUUGACUUUGUGGGUAGUUAUGCGUUACUGCGUGUUUCUUUAUCAUGGGCAGCAUUGUGGAGGUCCAGAACAAGGUUCUAUUCAAGGUGAAGUGUAUAGCCGACAUACAGAAUGUUAUUUGGGAAGUUAUGGUGGUCAGGAGUUAUUGGUAUAGGCAUAUGGUUAUGUGGUACAUCAUGUAAAUGUAUCUAGGUUGGAACUAUGGCUCGACUCGGCUUGUUCAAGUUUAUACCCUGUGAUGAUGGAAGAUU